UCCGCGACUUCAGUAUAAAACUACACCGACCACGUUUUAUUUCCCUUUUGCUUUCCGGUUUCUUGAAACGUGCGUGUGGAAAUAUUACUAACUACGGGAUUGACAAUUACUCAUUUUAGGGCUUUUCUCAAGGCCGGAUCUAAGCACUCUACCCAAGAAUUUUGUCUGGCACAACAAUGAUGACCAGUGAUGAUCGGUCAAAGACUGCGAAGUUGAAAGGGUACUUCUUGAAGCUGAAUGAUGGUAAAAAGACUCAGAACUUAAAAUGGUAAGUGAAUGGACUGUAUGGAAUGAGACCAGCAAUACCUUUUCAAUGUGUUAACAAAUCUGAUGUGUUGAUUGUACAAUAUUGACCUAAUUGUCUUAUUGAUGUCUAUUAAUAAAUAACAUUAAGAAUUUGGCUUUGAUUAUAUUCAGACAAUAACUCUGAAACUCUGGAAUAGGAAGUAUCGUCUGUUCCGACUACUGGCGAUGUUUCUAAUCCGCUGUCCUGAGCCUUAUUUGGGCAAAGUGUGAACCUCAAAAUGAUACUUUUGUCCUGUCCUAAAGCAAGUGUCUUCACCGGUCAAACUGUGUGGAAUUUGGAUCCAACCAGAAGUAAUUCAGGUCUCUAGACUGAGUUCACAAGUGAUGCUUUUGCAUCAGCUGAUCCAGCAUGUUUGGCUUUGGUUGACAAAGCACUUCUUCCAUUAAGGUUUUCUUGAUGUCCUGCUGAUAAAAUGAGAAGUGUACCAAGACUUCUCUACUGCUGAUCGUCCCAUGAUUUGCAGCAUGGGAAUAAAUGUUGACGUGCCCCUGGUGGACUCAGUUUUUGGCAAGGUGCAAUUAGGAAGCCCGCUCUCUUAUCAGCAGCCAGCAAAGGGGAAAGCUCAGACUUUCCAUGGUGCUCCUUCUCCUCCAUCAUUGCCACUCCAGGACUACAGACUGCAACCGUCAGAUUGCAUGUUUGUGUGUUCUAGGAGACAGCAGCUUCAUCUACAAAGUCUGGAGGUAUCUCUGGAUAUGGCACAUAAGAUUGAACAUGCAACUCAGGAACAGAGUUCGUCUUCUGAAUGGCACAACCUUCAGAGACCACGGGUAACAGCUUCACGUUUUAGAGAAGUGUGCCACGUGGGAGAGGCCUCUGAAGAGUUGCUUGCCGAACGCAUCCUAAAAGGUACACACCAGACAGGAGCGAUGAAGAGAGGUUUGGAGUUGGAGGCAGAUGCUAUCUGGGAGUACUGCCAGAUAAAGAGACUUGACUAUUACAAAUGUGGUUUUGUGGUGCACCCCGAUGCACCAUGGCUUGGUGCAUCACCAGAUGGCAUUGUUUUUGACCCGUCAGAGCAGUUUGGCCUUGUUGAAAUCAAAUGUCCCAAUAUAAAGAGCUAUGUGGACGCUCCCUACCUAAAGGUCAUCUAUGGAACGUUGAAGCUCAAGCUAUCACACGCCUAUUACUGGCAAAUUCAGGUCCAACUGUUAAUAACAGGCAUGGGUUGGUGUGACUUUGUUGUCUCUGCACAGGAUGACAUGUUCAUUCAAAGACUAUACAGAGAUGAAAGGGUGAUGAAUACCAUAAAAUGUAGGGUGGACAUGUUUUACUUACAUGUCUACAUAAACAAAUACCUCCAAGUAUCAUAAAUUGUGCAGAGCUGAACGUUAUGUGUGACAUCACACUUCUGUGGUCCUCUUUAUAUUGAGUAUGGUUUUAGAAGAACAAUAGAAGUAUUUCACACAGAUUUUGAGAAUUGUUAAAUGUGUCAUAAUAUGUGUUUAGUUAUGCUAUGCAGAUUUUGAUAACCUAAUGAUAAUUUUUAAAAGACAAUAUUUAGACAGUAUUGUAAUUUUCAAUUAAUAGUCUUUGUUUACACCAUCAGGUCUUGCUUGAAUUGAAUUUUGAAAUUUCAAUACUUUUGACAACCUAGACCAGGGGUGUCAAACUCAUUUUGGUCCGGGGGCCGUAUCCAACCUACUUUGAUCCCAAAGGGGCCGGAUGAGAAAACUCAUGUCAUAUAAACCCAAAAAUAGCAAUAAGUUGAAAUAUUUGUGCAGAGAAACGCAAAUCUAUUACAGAAAUCUUUUUUAUUGAUGGACUCUUUCUUUUACAAAAUAUUAUAAUAUCAUGAACAACCUGAAACUUUAAGAAAAAUGCAAUUUCAACACAAUAUUUUAACAAUAACUUGCAGGAAAAUAGGAAUAAGUCAAUUUUUCUGGGAAAAUCCUGCACUCGAUGUCCACUUUUCUCAUUUUUGACAUUUUGCUGAUGAGGUUGUCACGGUCAACAGUCAAAACGAUCGUCCUUUAACUCUUUCCCCCCUGGACGCCUACUAGGAACAACCCAUACAUAUGUUACUAGGGCUACCCAUAGAGCAUAAUUGCAUAAAAGAAAACAGACUUCCACGAGUGAUUAUAAAUGAUUUUUUACACUCAUGAACUUAAUUGUAACACAGACAUAUUUGGUAUCUCUGGAAACCUUAGACUCUGAACUAUUCAUUUAUGGAUGUUUAAAUGUGAUUCAACUCAUUUAUAGGUGUAUAACAGCUCACUGAAAAUGAGAGUUUACCUGGUCAGGUGCAAGCUCGAAAACAAAAAACUACAUUCAGCAUCUGAUAUCUGCAUGUUCUGAGUACUAUAUUCAUAAAAAAAUAAAAAAUAUACUUUGUCAAAGUAUUUAAACAGAUUUCAUAUCACCAGAUACAGUAUAGCCAAGUGUACACCUGUUUUUACCUGUUGUUCACCUGUGUGCACCCAAUAAUUUUUUUUCCAUUUAACUUAUUCAACUCAUUUAGCUUAUUCAACUUAUUUUAUUUAUUCAACUCAUUUAGCUUAUUCAACUAAUUUAGCUUAUUAUAAUAUAAUAAUAUAAUAAUAAAACUCUUCCCCGUCAGUGUGUGUCCAGUAUUUGUCAUCUUGGCUAUUUUCUCGUGCGCAGAGCUCCGCAUAAGCGUUUUUUUCUGUAGUGAUUUUGUUAUACAUCGCAUCUUGGAAAAAAAGACUGAAAUAUUUUAAAGGACUAGCCUGGGCAACAUCCAGAUUUCAGGGCAAUUUUGGUUCAUAAUCGAGUAUAAAGCUCAGAUAGUUUGUUCGGAUAUCGCAGGACUCCACACAGACGCAUCAGCGGCAUUCUCACCUUCUCCCCCGAAAGUCCGUCGCUAUCGCUGUUUUCCACUUUAUAAUCAACUUCAACAUCAUCACUUUGAAAUCUAUAAAAGUCACUUUCUCUAAACUUAUCCAUAAAAUACGUCCGCUCCUCAUUAUUUCUAAAACUGUGCGCCGCAGCGCCGCGAUCUUUCCAUUGCACGUGUUUCGUGUUGUGUUUUUUCCGGAAGCUACCAUCGUCACUAUUUCGAUUAACUUCGGAAAAAAUCGGCGAAAACAUACCCUUGAAUCCUAUUGGUCAGUCUAGUGUCGGUUGUAGUGGCCCCCACCUAUCGCAGUCUCUGUUUAAAUGUGAAAAACCGAGCCAUUUCUAAAGGUCGUCAAAUCUCGUCUUUAGUGAUACAGCGGAGGUGUCAAAAGUCGUCAUUAAGGAAACAGGGGGUCGUCAAAUGUCGUCUUCAUGGGGGAAAGAGUUAAGAGCGUUUGGAAAGAGACAAGUCUUCAUUUGUGCUGCUCUGGUGGGAGGGGCCACGUACAGAGACGCUGGAGAUGCUGCUACGCUAAGCAGAGCAGAAAAUUAACAAGAUUUUAAUAGAAAAUAUAAUUAAAAUAUUUUAGUAGAAAAUCAGCCGAGGGCCAGAUUAAAGGUCUUGGAGGGCCGGAUCGGGCCCCUGGGCCUUAUGUUUGACACCUGUGCUCUAGCAAGUUAAAAACAGAAAAAUCACAUCUGACAUAUGAACAACUUCUGGCUGCAUUUUUUAAAGGUAAAUCAGUUUUUUCAACAUAUUACAUCAUCUAACACGUUACUUAACAGAAUUAUGUCACUUGAUGCAACAGAAAAACAUUUUAUAAGGGUCAAAUAAUUUUUUAAAAACAUGCUUGACCAAACGGCUGAGAUGUCACUCUAUGGUAAAACUUGGCAUGGAGUGACAUCUCAACCAUAUGGUAACAGUUUGGUGAAUUUAUGCUAAUUUCAUAAAAUGUUACUAUUUUUGAUGGAAUUAAAACACUUCUGUUCAUGCAUUGUUGUUAAUAUGUUACAAUUACAGUGUUAUUAUACUGAAAUCAUUAUUAAUAAUUAUAUUCAAUAUGUGUAAUAGCGGGAUCCUGAUUAUCUGCCCAAACAAGUAGAGGUGAUCGGCGACCUUUCCACUGAAUUUAUGGCUGAAGAGGAGAUGCCCUCUGCAAGCACAUCUGCUAAGAAGAAGGAAAAAAAAAAGGGAAAAACACCUUAAAAAAAAGUAAUGGAAGAGCUGGAUGAGGCCCCUGUGUCACCCCCAUGCACAAAGAAGAAAAAAAAUGGCUGAAAAGAAAGAAAAAGAAUCCAGGAGAAUCUGGAAGCAUGUAGAUAUUGACGAAUUCCAGGUUCCUGAUUCAAGUUUCUGGGGUACAAGACCCUAGCCAAAUAACAAUGCUGGUACUUCCCCCUGUUUGAAUACGCCCUUGACCUGUGCAUUUCCAAUUCUUGGUUUGUCUACAAGAGAGACUGUGACCUACUGAGUGAAAAAACAAAGCCUCUCAAAAUGUUUCACCUGGCUGUGGCCCACAGUUUGAAAUAAGUCAACAAGCCAGCACCGAGAGUUGGUCAGCCAUCAUCUGCUAGUCCACCACAAAUGUCCUGUAAGAAGAAGUGCCUCCCCCCAAGACCCCCACGGCCACAACCAGACAUACGCUACGACAACUAUGGACAUUGGCCACUUCACACUGACAACCAGGGACGGUGCAGCCUCUGCCCAAAGGAUGUGUUAAGAUGGAAAUGUGAGAAGUGCAAUGUUUUCCUGUGCUUGAUCGGAGUGGGGGAAUGCUUUGUAGCGUAUCAUCAAAAAUAAUGUGCCGAGGGUUACCAUUGGUUACCAUUAUUUUGUUGGAGAGAUUUGAAUCCUUUUUGAAUUUGUUCAAUGCAAGAAAAGAAGUUUGAAGAUUUUACACAGCACAACUGAGAAGUUGGACAGGUCCUCAGGAGUCCUUUUUUAUUAUUUUAAGACAAGGGAAAUACAUAAAUGCCCCAUAUGUUUUUGAAAGUACUACUGUCACAUACAUGUUGGAAUUUUAUGUAGAAAAUGGGAGAGAAGUUCGUUUGUUGGAAUGAAAUUUAUUUGACAUGAAUUGUUUUCUGAUAUUUUUACAUUUUCUACUUUCUUUUUUGUAUUUGUAGGUAUUAAAUAAUAAUUUAAUUGCUAAUAUACAUUAAUAAUUAUGUAUCAGAUACUUUUACCAUAAAGCACCAUCUCGACCAUUUGGUAGACGCAUAUAUUUUUAAAACUGGGGGGUCUAUAUAUUUUUUUAUUUUUUGUUAUUAGUGACUCAAUAACUUAAAAAGAAAAAAAAUUUUACAUUGUUUUUUUCUUGGAGUGAACAUUAAAGGGUUAAGAUC
Boleophthalmus pectinirostris (great blue-spotted mudskipper) is the source of this 5452-nucleotide long non-coding RNA. RefSeq lists it as uncharacterized. Lineage: Eukaryota; Metazoa; Chordata; Actinopteri; Gobiiformes; Gobiidae. The record is from RefSeq and is a predicted model, not a curated record. The transcript has 8 exons.